AGCAAUGGUUAAGGGUACAGAGGUUGCUACAUGCCUGAGCGAGUGGUAGCCCUCUGCCCGGCAUCAAUAGCCUCUGUGCUCGUCUUACCUCUGCAUCUUCAGUUCAUUAAACACCCCUCAACACUUGGCGCCCAGAACGUGGGACCUUAAGGUAAAGAAAAGUUCUGGGUUCCUGAGAGGUGUCUUAAGCUGAGACAUGGGAACCAAAAGGAAGUUCUACUUAAGUGACCUGACCAAGGAUUUCUCAGAGAUGACGUUGACGGGGCCUCCUAUCCGCAAAGCUCUACGGUCAAUGCAACAUUCAUCUGUGCCAACCUGGGGUCAGGUGAAGAAGCUUACCCAAGAGGGAGAACAACUGGUUCCGCAUCAUGGUAAAGAAGUGACACGAUCUACUUUGUUCCUUGCUAUGCUUGCACUAAUAACCACUCAGGAAUAAGAGCCCACAGAAUUUUGGAAGAAGAUGACAUUCUCUGAAGGAAUGGAUAGAAGCCAAGAAGUUGAUGAACUUGAGGAUAUGCUACACUAAAAUAUAGCACCUUGGCAUAUUAAAUAUCUUAAGCUGGAGGAGUUUAAGAAAAUUGUAGAAGUGGGAUUCCAUGUGCAGAUAAUUGCAAGUUGAAGUAAGUCACUCUUCCCCAUACCUGCCUUUCUUCUCUGAAAAAAACCAUGAAACUCACCUGACAGGUACCUUCCUUGUACCAGGAAGAAGGAAGAAAUUAUCACCAAAGACAGGGAAUUUGGGACCAAGAAGUAACAAGCUUUAACCAAGCUUGUUAAACUAAACUUUAUCUUCUAGUUACUUCUUCACCAUUCACUAUCCCUAACUCGAACUGAUCCAUUUUGCCAAUAUUCAAAAAUUUUUAUUGUUUAUUUGUGUAAAAGAAGAUUUUUGCCCUGGCCCACCUCUUCAGGUCUUUAUUCUCUUGUGAAGGAUUUCAGAUGCAUGUAAAAAUUCAG
Myotis myotis is the source of this 957-nucleotide long non-coding RNA. RefSeq lists it as uncharacterized. The record is from RefSeq and is a predicted model, not a curated record. Lineage: Eukaryota; Metazoa; Chordata; Mammalia; Chiroptera; Vespertilionidae. The transcript has 3 exons.